This 403-nucleotide ribosomal RNA is filed under the name uncultured bacterium. Its description in RNAcentral is "bacterial SSU rRNA". It matches the Rfam family "Bacterial small subunit ribosomal RNA", at positions 975 to 1375 of the family's 1533-position model. The record is from RNAcentral.
CAACACUUGACAUGUCUGUCGCGGAUUCCAGAGAUGGAUUCCUUCGGUUCGGCCGGACAGAACACAGGUGCUGCAUGGCUGUCGUCAGCUCGUGUCGUGAGAUGUUGGGUUAAGUCCCGCAACGAGCGCAACCCACAUCCCUAGUUGCCAGCAGUUCGGCUGGGCACUCUAUGGAAACUGCCCGUGAUAAGCUGGAGGAAGGUGGGGAUGACGUCAAGUCCUCAUGGCCCUUACGUGUUGGGCCACACACGUGCUACAAUGGCAGUGACAAUGAGAUGCUAAACAGCGAUGUUAAGCUAAACUCAAAAACCUGCCUCAGUUCGGAUUGCACUCUGCAACUCGAGUGCAUGAAGCUGGAAUCGCUAGUAAUCGCUCAUCAGCGCGGAGCGGUGAAUACGUUCCC